This is an RNA transcript of Capsicum annuum, 2198 nucleotides long. It is a transcript of the gene named stress response protein NST1, with no coding region annotated. NCBI's taxonomy places the organism in Eukaryota, Viridiplantae, Streptophyta, Magnoliopsida, Solanales, Solanaceae. The transcript has 3 exons. The record is from RefSeq and is a predicted model, not a curated record.
ACUGAUCUCUUCUCAUUGAACAGUAAACUGAAACAAAUGCUUUUCACAUAGUUCAACUACUAACUGCACAAAUCAGUCCUCCAAUCAAAAACCUUGAAAACCCAAUUUCCAUUUUUGCCCCUCAAAGUUCUCCAUCAAAAAUUUUCCCCUUUAUCCCACUUCUUUACUUUUCCCAAUUCAAGAAGCCUAUUAUUGGUUUAAAGGUAUCCCGUGGAGUCAUUUGAGGUGUUUGCAAGCUGGCCCGAACACCACGGUUGUUUAAACAAAAAGUCUGUUGGUUGAAGUGGAGCGAUUUUUGGUAUUUGAGUAGUUGUGUCUGCGAUUUUGAGCUUCGUAAAGUUUGUUGAUUUGAAUAGUGGAGGUACCUUUAUUUGAUGAUGCCACAACCUAGAAGGAAAAAGUGGACCGAGGCGGAAGAAAGAACUCUAAUUGAUAAAUACGGUGAGAUGUUAUGUGAUGGGACUUUAGCCAAGAUGAAAACGAGGGAAAAGAAGUAUAAACCUAUUGCUUUACAUGUGAAUUCUGUGCAUUUUGUUCGUGAUCCGAUCAUGUAUCCAUGGCAAUGGACUUGGAAGGAUGUGUCCACUAAAGUGCAGAACAUGAGGCACCAGUAUACACUGGUGAAGCAGAAGAUUAAGAAACCAAACUCGGGGGAGGAGUCGGGUACUAUGGAGGAGUUUGAUUGGAUGGAGGGGAUAACUCAUUGGUCGAAUUUUUUAAGAUAUAAGGAAGUGUUUGGGGAUGUCAAUACACUCGUCUUCAAUUGUAGCGACCCCAUGGCGGUUGUAGAUGGAAAUGAAAAUGGUGGGGGAUUUGAUGGGAGUGGUAACAUUAUGGAGAACGUUCAGUUUGGGCUUCUCGGUCAUGCCGGGGAUGGUGAUUUUACUGGAGGUAUUAAUGGGGUUGAUCAUGGUGUUACAGGUAUGGAAUUUGAUUAUGACGGGGAAGAAGGAGAUGAGAAUUUCAAUGGUAGUAUCAGGAGGAAUAAUCAUUUGAAGGAAGAUGCGGACAAUGGAUAUGUUUAUGAAGACAUCGAACCAACGGGAUCUGAUACAAGAAAGAGGAAGAAGAUACUAAAAGGGGCGGAGAAGAGGGUGUGGGGUUUUCUUGCAACUCAGUUGUCACAAUUAAAGGAAAUGGAAGCUCGGUUUGAGCAGCGUGAGGCUGAGAGGGAGCGGGAGAGGCAGAGGAGAGAACAUCUUAGAAUAGACCUCGAACAAGAACGUGAGAGAAAAUGGGAAGAAAGAGAAAGAAAGCGGGAGGAAAGGGAGAAAACGAGGGAGAAGUUGCAGAGACAGAGAAUUCAAGAAUGGGAAGCAAUGGAGAAGGAAAGUGAGGAGAGAGAGAGGAGAAGACGAGAGGAACAACUUAUAUUUGAGAGAGAACGCGAAGAAAGAAUGCACAAGAGGAGAUCGGACUGGAAGAAGAGGAUUGACGAGACGUUAGGUCAGCAUCGAGCUGAAAUGAGCCAGGUCCAGACUCGGAUACUUCACGAACAUCAAAAUCUUACUAGUCAGCUUCUUGGAAUUUUUUCUCAGUGGACUGGCCAUCCAACUGGGCUUUCGGAUCACACAGGCGCUAGCAACCAUUAUCUAUCACAAAUGAUGCAAAACUUGCACCAUGUCAAUGAUAUGGUUCACGAUGAUGCAAGAGUUGAAGAGGAUGCUCAAGAAGACCAAUUUAUCGUUGAUGGAUAAAUAAAAGCAAGCUCUCUUAAGUAUUUAGAUCAACCACCUGAAGAGGGAAGGCGGCAGGUAGCGUUGCAAGAUAUGAACAAGUGUAAAGGUGUGGCAGCAGUUUUGGUGAGUUCGAGCAACAUAGCUAAAACAAGCUUCUUGAUUAACAGUUCUACCCAGUGAUGCUACAUAACGACGUACCUGACAAUCAUACUUAAAGCCCCUAAGGGUGUCACAAGUACUGCUGGGGCAUAUGCAUAAGCAGCAAAGUUAGCUCCCUCUCCAAUAAUCACUACAAGAGGUCGGAAGGUUAGCGUUAAAUAUAACUGAAAAACUGACUGUUCCUGAAAUAUUUUGAAACUAGAUACUAUUGCUCUGGUUACUUCUUUCAAAUUAGCAAUUACAGCAUUCCAUUUCCACCAUCUUCAUGCAUUUUUCUCUAAGUCAAGGUCUUUGUAUGUAUUAAUGUGAUAGAAAUACUUUCACCUGUGUUGAAUAAUCUUACAUAUGCAUAUUAUCCUA